This is a long non-coding RNA of Canis lupus familiaris (dog), 1245 nucleotides long. RefSeq lists it as uncharacterized. The transcript is spliced from 3 exons. Lineage: Eukaryota; Metazoa; Chordata; Mammalia; Carnivora; Canidae. The record is from RefSeq and is a predicted model, not a curated record.
AUGUCUUACUAUUGGAGCGUCGGACAGUAGCAGAUGUCGCGAGACUCCGGGAUCCAAGUCCGUCCGGGGCGACCGAGUAGUCUCCGUCUGUGGGCGAGUAGUUGGUCACCUUAGCGGUGUGAGGGUGGACGGUGGCCCCUGCACUCCCUAAAUGAUACGAAGGACUUGUUUGUCCCCUGAACCUAAGGACUGGAGAAACAAAAGAAAUAAAAGAGAAGAGAAAAGAGAAGAGAAGAGAACCUUUCCCAUUUGUUCUGUGAAGUCACUCUACUCAUGGAAGCUGGAACAGUGAGUGUAAAUGUUGGCAGGAGAUUCUUUCCACAGCAGACCUGACCACAGCAGACCAGCAGACCUGACCUAACAUGGUGAAUAUAACUAGCAUCAGUAUUUCCUGAGUGCACUUUUAACACCCAAGCCAAAAUGAGAAACCUGGCUAUUUGGCCAAGAUGGCUCAGUUCAGCAACGAAGUCAAGUCCCUACUUACCUGUUAUUUCAUUGUCAGGAACUCAGCCACCACCUGUCCUAUGUAUUCUCAUCCAGGAACAGUUUGAAAACCGGGUUGAUAAAACUGGGGAAAGGGAAAGAAGCCACGAGAAUCCAGAAGUUGGAAGCAUCACUGGACACACCAGGCAGGAAUCCCCCACCAAUCACCUGGGGAUGAUGCUCUCUCGGCCCAACCCACAGGGGUGCACUGACAGGGUGAGCCCCCAAGUCUCCUGGGGUCCAAAGGAAGGGAGCAAUGGUUGCUCUGCACUUUAAGGAGAUAUUAUCCUGAUCUCAUAGAUGACAAUAUGAAAAUCAUGCAGUUUUAUACUUGAAGUAGACUUUCUGCUCACAGUUAUUAUUUCAUUAGUUUUAAUUUUCAGGAUGAAACAUAAAGUCCGAGGAAACCCUCAGCAUAAUCACUUGGGGACUCAUGUUUCCACAGCAAAGACACCAGUCCUGAACUUCUCCUUUCAGAAUUCUUGGGAAAUGCUCAUCUAUCUCCUUACCUCAGAAGGGCUCCUGUCCUAUCUCACACUUGAAGAAGUCCAUCUGAAGCAAGGCUGCAGCUCCCUGCCAUGAUGCUACAUAUUCCUGCAUCUCUCCUCACUAGUGACUACUUUCCUGUUUAAAUUCAAAGUCAAUGGGGCGCCUAGGGGGCUCAGUGGUUGAGUGCCUGCCUUCAACUCAGGAUAUGAUCCUGUGAUCCUGGGAUCUAGUCCCGCAUUGGGCUCCCUGCAAGGAGCCCGCUUCUCCCUCUAU